Molecule: ribosomal RNA, 467 nt
Filed under: uncultured bacterium
Lineage: Bacteria
Description: partial 16S ribosomal RNA
Rfam family: Bacterial small subunit ribosomal RNA
Source: RNAcentral
ACGCACGCUGGCGGCGUGCUUCACACCUGCCAGUUGAACGGAAAGGCCCUGCUUUUGUGGGGUGCUCGAGUGGCGAACGGGUGAGUAACACGUGAGUAACCUGCCCUUGACUUUGGGAUAACUUCAGGAAACUGGGGCUAAUACCGGAUAGGAGCUCCUGCUGCAUGGUGGGGGUUGGAAAGUUUCGGCGGUUGGGGAUGGACUCGCGGCUUAUCAGCUUGUUGGUGGGGUAGUGGCUUACCAAGGCUUUGACGGGUAGCCGGCCUGAGAGGGUGACCGGCCACAUUGGGACUGAGAUACGGCCCAGACUCCUACGGGAGGCAGCAGUGGGGAAUAUUGCACAAUGGGCGGAAGCCUGAUGCAGCAACGCCGCGUGCGGGAUGACGGCCUUCGGGUUGUAAACCGCUUUCGCCUGUGACGAAGCGUGAGUGACGGUAAUGGGUAAAGAAGCACCGGCUAACUACGUG